GUGCAUGUGGCGAAACGGUAUACGCGCCGUCCUGUCAUGACGGUGGGUGUUACUAGCACCCAUGCGGGUUCGAAUCCCGCCGUGCGCACCA
Molecule: transfer RNA, 91 nt
Filed under: Methylacidiphilales bacterium
Lineage: Bacteria; Pseudomonadati; Verrucomicrobiota; Methylacidiphilae; Methylacidiphilales
Description: Candidatus Methylacidiphilales bacterium tRNA-Asp
Rfam family: tRNA
About the family: Transfer RNA (tRNA) molecules are approximately 80 nucleotides in length. Their secondary structure includes four short double-helical elements and three loops (D, anti-codon, and T loops).
Source: RNAcentral